This 447-nucleotide ribosomal RNA is filed under the name uncultured bacterium. Its description in RNAcentral is "SSU rRNA". It matches the Rfam family "Bacterial small subunit ribosomal RNA", at positions 26 to 518 of the family's 1533-position model. The record is from RNAcentral.
AGAGCGAACGCUGGCGGCAGGCCUAACACAUGCAAGUCGAGCGCCGUAGCAAUACGGAGCGGCAGACGGGAGAGUAACACGUGGGAACGUGCCCUUCAGUUCGGAACAACCCAGGGAAACUUGGGCUAAAUACCGGAUACGUCCGAAAGGAGAAAGAUUUAUCGCUGAAGGAUCGGCCCGCGUCUGAUUAGCUAGUUGGUGAGGUAACGGCUCACCAAGGCUACGAUCAGUAGCUGGUCUGAGAGGAUGAUCAGCCUCACUGGGACUGAGACACGGCCCAGACUCCUACGGGAGGCAGCAGUGGGAAUAUUGGACAAUGGGCGCAAGCCUGAUCCAGCCAUGCCGCGUGGAUGAUGAAGGCCCUAGGGUUGUAAAGUCCGUUUCGGCGGGGAAGAUAAUGACGGUACCCGCAGAAGACGGCCCGGCUAACUUCGCGCCAGCAGCCGC